GCAGAUGCUGCGCUGAGACUGACCUUCAGAUCCUCGGCAGACCUUCAGCACGAUGGGCUCUUAAAUAAAACCCUUUUAGACCUGAACCUUGUGUGCGUUGGGUUUGGAUGUUUUCUGGGACUCUUUAGAAAACCCUGCCUUCCCUGCCGUGCUGUGGGAGACCCAGCAGAAGCCAGUGAGUAAAAGAUACCGCAUCACGACUAAAGCCCUUUCCUCGGCCGCCUGCGCUUCCUGUGGUCCAGGUUUAUUUAGUUGGCUUAUUAUCAGCAAGCCCCAUUUUCCUGGAGGACAGAUUUCUGGGUGAGCCAAGAUGGUGUGGGUGGGAACGGAAUGGGCUCUGGUGUGUCCGUUGGCAAAGCGGGUGACCCGCGUCUCUGGUUUAGAUGUUUAUGUGGCCCCUACAGCAUGGGGAGCCGUGUGUGAGCAGGUGUCCUGCCGUGAGCGAGGAUGAGUGUUAUGGAUGAGUUAUCUUCGGAGUUUGCACAAAGACCGGCCAGGCGUGCUGAGUGUGUAUGUGUGUGGCAGGGGAGAAGACCCAGGAUACAGAGAGACCCAUGUAAUUCCUAGGCCCCUUGCAAUGCAGGCCAGAUGGAGAGUAAAGGGGGAGGGACCUCAUAAAAUCGGGCCGAGCAAGUAUCUUGAGUAGGAUUGCUAACCUGGGAGCUGACGUGGGCCAUGCACUGGGCAAAGUAGCACAUUUGGUUCCCAUUUUACUUCUGACCUCGUUCCUGAAGAACCUGCUCUCAGGCCGGUGCUGUUGGUUAAUCAGGGACCCACAGCCAGGUUGGAAUCCGGUCCUGGGGGGAUUUUUUCCACGUCUUUUCUUUUUUCUUAUCAGCGAUACGGAGAUGUGCUUUGAGAUCGAGUCUGUUCCAAGAUCACAUUGUUUUCCUGUGGAAGAAUUCUGUUUCCCACAAUGUGCGAUUCUGAGAUUGUUAUUGAUCCAGCCGGCCUUGACUUCAGCCCCCGUUAUCUGUGGUUCUCAUCGCCCCUCCCUCUCGCCUCGAGGUCUCGGUAAUAAGCUCCCUGUGCUUUUCUCGUCUUAGUUUAGCCGGAGUCGCUGUCCAUGGAAAAUAAUUACUGGGAAUGUUCUGGAAUAGAAAGUGAACAACAGCGUUGCAUAAGUACCACAUAAAGCAGCUAAUGAAAUGGAAUAAUCUCCUUUUUCGCUUGACAGCGGCCCCAGGGGCACGUUGCCCUGCCCGGUGAAUCGCUCUCCCUCUGUCUGCUGUCCGCCCUACCCUGCUGCAGAGGCCAUGUCUCUUUGGCUAAGAUACUGACGUUCUUGGCUUCGGUACAAGGCAGGGGGAGGGCCGAAUGAGAUAAGGCACACCCGCGGAUGCUCGGCGACUGGGAUUUAUUUUAUUACACAUCUAGCAGGUGUUCAGAGAGCCACAGGGCACGAUGCCAGGGCCUGCUGGGCUAAAAGAGGUGAGUAGGUCCGGCAUGCUCCCGACUUUGGAGGCUGUUUUAAAGACUCAGAGUAGGAGGGAGAUAAGGUUUGUAUUUAGAGCCCCUUCAUGGCCAUCCUCUGCUUGACUGAGGCACCUUCAUCCCAGCAACUAAGAGCAUCGGCCACUAUUUAUGGAGCUCUGAACUUGUUCCUUUGCGUAGGGAGGCCAGAUUCCCUGGGCUUCAGUUCUGGUUCUAACAGUUAGCACUUGUGUAACCAGGCACAUCUCAACUUGUGACCCCCGCCCCCCACAUCUCAUCUGUCGAAGGGGAGGAAGAGCAGCACCUACCUCGUUUGGGUAUUGUGAACUGGAUGUGCUCAUUUUUUUGUUUUCUUUUUCUUUCUUUCCUUCCUUUCUCUCCAUAGGGCUCACCAGAGAGAGAAACAG
This is a long non-coding RNA of Tupaia belangeri chinensis (Chinese tree shrew), 1841 nucleotides long. RefSeq lists it as uncharacterized. NCBI's taxonomy places the organism in Eukaryota, Metazoa, Chordata, Mammalia, Scandentia, Tupaiidae. The transcript has 3 exons. The record is from RefSeq and is a predicted model, not a curated record.